ACACGCAUGACACACUGCAUAUCAAUAAGCGGAGGAAAAGAAACUAACAAGGAUUCCCUUAGUAACGGCGAGUGAAGCGGGAAGAGCUCAAAUUUGAAAUCUUCAAGGUUCUACCUUGACGAAUUGUAGUUUAUAGAAGUGUUUUCUGUUAGUAGAGUGGCAAAAGUUCUUUGGAAUAGGACAUCAUAGAGGGUGAGAAUCCCGUAUUUGGUCAUUCUUUCUAGCUUUGUGAUACACUUUCAACGAGUCGGAUUGUUUGGGAAUGCAGUCCAAAAUGGGUGGUAAAUUUCAUCUAAAGCUAAAUAUUGGCGAGAGACCGAUAGCGAACAAGUACCGUGAGGGAAAGAUGAAAAGAACUUUGAAAAGAGAGUUAAACAGUACGUGAAAUUGUCAAAAGGGAAGCGUUUGACACCAGUGUUGUUUUUCCGAAAAUCAAUUACGAAUGUUUUAUUUUUGAGGAGUUAUGACUUCAUCGGCUUGCUCCUUCCUUUACUGAAACUUUCUUAAUGCACUUUUCGGUUAACAAGUCAACAUCAAUUUCUUUUGUUGUAAAAGGGUAUGAGGAAGGUGGCUUUCUUUUCGGAGAAAGUGUUUAUAGCCUUGUACCUCUGCAAUCGGAGAGAUUGAGGUCUGCAGCGUAGAUCCUUCGGGGUUAGAUACAUUUGUGCUAAGUUAUAGCUUUUCAUAGACAACUUGUUGACUAUGUUAAGUCUUGUAGCUUACUCGCUUAUGCUAUUUUACCUACGCUUAGGAUGUUGAGCGCAUGUCUCUCUCU
This 775-nucleotide ribosomal RNA is filed under the name uncultured Neocallimastigales. Its description in RNAcentral is "partial large subunit ribosomal RNA". It matches the Rfam family "Eukaryotic large subunit ribosomal RNA", at positions 23 to 637 of the family's 3401-position model. The record is from RNAcentral. Lineage: Eukaryota; Fungi; Neocallimastigomycota; Neocallimastigomycetes; Neocallimastigales.